UACGUAGGGACCAAGCGUUGUUCGGAUUUACUGGGCGUAAAGGGCGCGUAGGCGGCUUGCCAAGUCACUUGUGAAAUCUCUGGGCUUAACCCAGAACGGCCAAGUGAAACUGGCAUGCUAGAGUGCAGAAGGGGCAAUCGGAAUUCUUGGUGUAGCGGUGAAAUGCGUAGAUAUCAGGAAGAACACCCGUGGCGAAAGCGGCUCUCUGGAACGGUACUGACGCUGAGACGCGAAAGCGUGGGGAGCGAACAGG
This 253-nucleotide ribosomal RNA is filed under the name uncultured bacterium. RNAcentral describes it as "partial 16S ribosomal RNA". It matches the Rfam family "Bacterial small subunit ribosomal RNA", at positions 524 to 776 of the family's 1533-position model. The record is from RNAcentral.